GCUUCUUUUUCACCGGAGCUUGCUCCACCGGAAAAAGAAGAGUGGCGAACGGGUGAGUAACACGUGGGUAACCUGCCCAUCAGAAGGGGAUAACACUUGGAAACAGGUGCUAAUACCGUAUAACAAUCGAAACCGCAUGGUUUUGAUUUGAAAGGCGCUUUCGGGUGUCGCUGAUGGAUGGACCCGCGGUGCAUUAGCUAGUUGGUGAGGUAACGGCUCACCAAGGCCACGAUGCAUAGCCGACCUGAGAGGGUGAUCGGCCACAUUGGGACUGAGACACGGCCCAAACUCCUACGGGAGGCAGCAGUAGGGAAUCUUCGGCAAUGGACGAAAGUCUGACCGAGCAACGCCGCGUGAGUGAAGAAGGUUUUCGGAUCGUAAAACUCUGUUGUUAGAGAAGAACAAGGAUGAGAGUAACUGUUCAUCCCUUGACGGUAUCUAACCAGAAAGCCACGGCUAACUACGUGCCAGCAGCCGCGGUAAUACGUAGGUGGCAAGCGUUGUCCGGAUUUAUUGGGCGUAAAGCGAGCGCAGGCGGUUUCUUAAGUCUGAUGUGAAAGCCCCCGGCUCAACCGGGGAGGGUCAUUGGAAACUGGGAGACUUGAGUGCAGAAGAGGAGAGUGGAAUUCCAUGUGUAGCGGUGAAAUGCGUAGAUAUAUGGAGGAACACCAGUGGCGAAGGCGGCUCUCUGGUCUGUAACUGACGCUGAGGCUCGAAAGCGUGGGGAGCAAACAGGAUUAGAUACCCUGGUAGUCCACGCCGU
Molecule: ribosomal RNA, 763 nt
Filed under: uncultured bacterium
Lineage: Bacteria
Description: bacterial SSU rRNA
Rfam family: Bacterial small subunit ribosomal RNA
Source: RNAcentral